UUCAAAGUUUUGUUGUUUUCAAAUUAGUUGCGAUGUUUCAAUUUUAUUGCAUUUUGUACUAUUGACCGAUAAGCUGUGCGAUUUCGCGAGCGAACCACCAAAGCGUGAACACUAUCAGUAGUUCGAUCGUCAGACGAUGCAAUAAAUUGUUUUUCCGAUUAUUUUAUAAUUCCGAGAUUCGAAUAUUAUUCACCCAAUACUAAUUUCUUUGUUUAAUAAUUCAAAAAGGAAAAAAAAAAAUAAUUUCAAUACUCUACAGGUGGGUGGGUGCCUUCGGAAAAGAUACAUUUUAUGAAUGCAAGUAAAUUAUUCCGUGGAUAAUGGCAGAAAAUCGUGAUUCAGUGUUGCUAAAUAUUAUUUGGAAAAAUUAAUCGCGAAAUAAGGCAAAAAAAGCGCCAAAUGUCUAAUUUAAACGCGAAAAAGCAGCAGUUGCUCUGUCUCAACUGACAGUUCAGUUGUAAACAAACAAAUUGUAAAUAAACAAACAAAAUAAAAUUUCUAGUGAUUGUGUCCAAACUAUUUGUGUCCUUAAAAAAUUAAAAAAAAUGAAUAUUUCUGUAGCCCUAUUUUUUAUGGAUGAUGAGGAGGAGGUUCAAAAUGUGCCACGGAGGCAUUUAAGAGAUGCUUCGAAUUUAUUUGAAGUACCUAACAACCAGUUUGUGUCUUCCAGUGGUCUUCAAGGGAUUGCCUGCUGCUUCCAAAAAUUGGCACUCCUCUGGCGAACUUAGGAUUCUCCUCCAUAUACUCAACUAGUGCCCGCAGCUGUGUAGUUUUUUCGUGCUGGAAUUGAGAAAAUAAAAAAAUAUAUAUUUGUUGUUCACAGAUUAAA
Molecule: long non-coding RNA, 829 nt
Organism: Musca domestica (house fly)
Lineage: Eukaryota; Metazoa; Arthropoda; Insecta; Diptera; Muscidae
Exons: 2
Source: RefSeq, a predicted model, not a curated record